GGGGAUGUGGGGUAAUGGUUAUCCUACCUUGGUAAAGCCUUGAGGGGCUCCGAGGAGAUCCGGGUUCGAAUCCUGGCAUCUCCU
Molecule: transfer RNA, 84 nt
Filed under: Candidatus Riesia sp.
Lineage: Bacteria; Pseudomonadati; Pseudomonadota; Gammaproteobacteria; Enterobacterales; Enterobacteriaceae
Description: tRNA-Leu
Rfam family: tRNA
About the family: Transfer RNA (tRNA) molecules are approximately 80 nucleotides in length.
Source: RNAcentral